GGGUGACACUCUGAUCUUUUGAGUAUAAUCUUUUCCUGGAUCUUUUCGAAUCAUUCGGAAUCUUCUGAAUCUCGGCAAAUCAUGCACAUAACAAGUGAAGGAGCUUUUGCUUCAGUGUAUCGGCAACUCCUGUCAAAUCGCGAUAAAACAAAAAUAAAAAUUCGCUGCUGGACCUGGAACUAAACCAAAGAAAUUUUCUUUCAAACUGCGGAAAUUGCACAAACGGCCUCGGUGCUGAAUCUUUCUGGAAAAUCACCCUCAUUCUUUUAUGUGCGAACAAGAAGGUUCUGUUCCUUGCUGACUUGGAAUACAGCCUAAACCGGAAAAAAUCUCAGGAAGCCUCAGUUGGAAGCACUAUCCUGGCAACGGAUUACGUUUACUUUUCCGAACGAAUGGAAGCGGAAAGCGAAUUCCUGCUGCGAAAUGGUUUCAUCGGACGGUAGUGAACCGCGCGGACGGAAAAGAUAUCAACAUGGAUCUGGAUGAGCGGAACAACUAAUGUUCCUUCCGACCCUGGUUGAGAUAUCACGAACAGUAGUGACCAAUGUCAAGCCGGAGAGUUCAUGGACGGAGUCAUCCUCAACAACUCCAUGACGACAUAUCUGGAAUGUUUAGGCAUCGCCGGACGGCUAUGGAAGCUCCGUGAGUGCACGGAGAGGCUGAACCCUUUUGACUCCACUGUAACAGACAGGUAGAAACCGAGGACGACCAGUUGACGGCGGUGGUGAACCGGAGUAUCCAGGUCUGAUAGAUAUCGUGCGCAGAAUUCCGAGAGAAGAGGCGAUCAUCAACGUGAAUUGCAAUUAUGUAGUUUUUGCGAUGAUGAGGAGAAAAAGAAGCAAGGAUGAAGAUCCUGAAAUGAUUUAUCAAUAAACGUAAACUAUUCAACAAUUUGUGAA
This is a long non-coding RNA of Aedes albopictus (Asian tiger mosquito), 899 nucleotides long. RefSeq lists it as uncharacterized. The record is from RefSeq and is a predicted model, not a curated record. Lineage: Eukaryota; Metazoa; Arthropoda; Insecta; Diptera; Culicidae. The transcript is spliced from 2 exons.